AAAAAGACAAACCCUGAUUUUCCGUGUCUAAUGUUUAACGAUCUGUCUUAUAUAAUUUUUUUUAUAAUUAGUAUUUUCAUUAUUGUUAGAUGAUAAAACAUGAUUAAUACUUUAUACGUGACUUAUCUUUUUACUUUAUUUUAUUUUUUUUAAAUAAGACGAACAGUCAAACUUAGACACAGAAACCCAUGAUUUGUCUUUUU
Molecule: microRNA precursor, 203 nt
Organism: Oryza rufipogon (brownbeard rice)
Lineage: Eukaryota; Viridiplantae; Streptophyta; Magnoliopsida; Poales; Poaceae
Rfam family: MIR812 microRNA precursor family
Source: Rfam